CGUAGGUAAUCUACCUUUGAUGGGGAAUAACAGUCGGAAACGACUGCUAAUACCGCAUAAUGCAGCGGCAUCUAUGAUGACAGUUGUUAAAGGAGCAAUCCGCUUAAAGAGGAGCCUGCGGCAGAUUAGCUAGUUGGUAAGGUAAUGGCUUACCAAGGCUACGAUCUGUAACCGACCUGAGAGGGUGGUCGGUCACACUGACACUGAAUAACGGGUCAG
RNAcentral lists this ribosomal RNA (219 nucleotides) under uncultured bacterium. Its description in RNAcentral is "partial 16S ribosomal RNA". It matches the Rfam family "Bacterial small subunit ribosomal RNA", at positions 116 to 334 of the family's 1533-position model. The record is from RNAcentral.